CCGGCACCGAGGGUGCGCUCCGCCCCUCCUCGGGCCGGCCCUCGCCUGCCGCGCUGCAGGUUAAACUGACCUGAGCCGAGGACAUUUAAUCCGUAUCGGAAACAUCCUGCUGCGCACAAGCUCAGCAGGUGAUAUUUGCUUUGGCCAUGCCCUGGAUCCGCAGAGGGAAGCAGCAGCUGCGUUUGUGCCUCCAGCCGUUCUUUCUGAAGGCGCUUCAGGUCGCGUGCAGGAGCUGAAGUUCAGUAUCCAACUGAAUUUCUGUAGUAGAUCUCCAUCACUAAAAUAAAUGAGGAUCAAAUGCCAGGCACCAUGUCUAGCUAGAGAUGUUGAGAUAUCCAGGGAGUGGAGCACGAGCACGAGUGCUGUGAGCAGGAGCUGAGGGAACUGGGGUUAUUUAACCCAGAGAAAAGGAGGCUCAAGGGGACCUCAUCACUCUACCUGAAGGGAGGUUGUAGCCAAGGGUGGUGGGGUUGGUCUCUUCUACCAAGCAACAAAAAAAUGGCCUCAAGUUGUGCCAGAGAAGGUUUAGAUUGGAUAUUAAGAAAACCUUUUUCAUGGAAAGGGUUGUCAAGCACUAAAACAGGGAAGUGAGUGAGUCACCAACCCUGGACUUAGUCAAAACAUGUAGAUGUGGCACUCAGGGACAUGGCUUAGUGGUGCACUUGGCAGUGCUGGGUUAAUGGCUGGACUCCAGAGUCUUUUCCAGCCUAAACAAUUCUGAUUCUAUGUUGACAGGUAAAGCAAAGAAGAAAAUAAAGUCACAUUCUCACUUUAUCAGAAUGAACCAGGUUUAGCCUUUUGUAUUUAGGUCAAUGAUUCUACCUAAACUGUGAUCAAUUUACAGGGGUAGGAGUUGAUUCAGCCAAGGACCUCCUGUGAUAACUGGCCUCUAGAGAACAACUUCUUCUGAAAAACCAUUGUGAAAGACUAUAUAUUGCCCUAAGAGAAGGAAAAAAGUUUGAAAAUAAUGGCAACCUGCCACCAAAACUCUCCCUGCAAGAACUGCCAGUUGGCCAAUUGCCAUGCACAGUACUGAGCAGUCACUCAAAAAUGGCUCUUUAUUCCAUACCAAUAGUUCUAAAUUCUGCAUGUACCAGAAAGCACAAAACACUGAUGUUAGCUGGUGCACUUAAAGAAAGGAGUUGAAACGUACAAAGAGAUUAAAAGGCAAGGACAAUCAGGGAAGAAAAGCCAUUACAUUAAAAGCACUCCUUCGGGCAAGUGACUGUUCCCACAUCAGUUUACUGCAGCAUCAGCUACCUGAAGAUCUCGGUGGCAAGACCCGUAACUUUCAGCGACACACAUUGUAAAUAACUUCAGAGACCAAAAUAUUCACCAAUCCAAGUUCAUCCCAGUAAGUUGCACAGACAUAACUUUUUUUAAAAAUGCCAUAAAAUAAGUCAGGCAAUUCCCAGCCACUUUUGGCAUGGCAGGCUUUGAUAAACUGAAAGACUACAGCUCAUCUUCAAACAGAAUUCAGAAGACUAAAUAGCUCUACAUAUAACCUUAGGUACAUAAAAAUUUUUAACGAGAAAAGAAUUGGAAAUCUCUUUUGUGUUUUGAGUUACUCUCAUCAUAAGAGAUGCUGGGAAAUUUCAUACAGUGGCAUUUUUUGGAGGACCACCUGAAUUCAACUUUAAAAUUUUGUAGGGUGAGACACCAAAAUACCUUGCUAAAUGAGUAGUCUUUUAAAUUACGUUUUUAUUUUGCAAGAAAAUAAAUUAUACAACUUAAAAAAUAAAAUUCAAAAAUUAAGCAGUACAUCAAAAUAGUUCAGCUGGACUGCCAUACAGAAACUACCACCAUUCAAAAUUGUACAGCAUUAUUAUCUUGGUAGUGGCACACAUUCAAAAUUGUAAAUACCAUACGGAGAUAGUUAUUACAACUCAGGAAUUCGUGUUCGCUCAACGCUCCAGACUACAUAUAGUGUGUAUGACAGGAAAGCUUUCAUGUAUUGUUUAUUUCACAAAUAUGACCUUAAAGAAUUACAAAGAUAGCAUCCCAGUCAUUUAGAUGAAAAUAGAAAACAGUUUGAGAUAGCAAAUCUUUCUGUAAAACUAUCAAAUCUUUUUGCCAAUUGUAUUUUUAAAAUUUGCACUUUACAGGACAAUGGCAUCCCAAGGCAGAUAAAUGCAAGAUGUGAACAUUCAGAACAUUUAUAUUAAUUUUACAAAGAUGAAAAUGAGAAUGUCACAUUGUCAUUUGGAAAUGUAACUGCAUUACAGUCGUAACAAAUAAAAGAUAAAUGAGUAAAAGUAGAAGCUAGGGACACCAACUGUGGAAAGAGGAAAAUGGAAGACUUCAGAAUUGAAACAGAUUCUUACCAAGUUGUUGGGACAGAGAAAGAUUUAACAGUAUUUCUUAAUUAAACCCAUUAAGAGUGAUUUCCCCCCCGCCCCUUCUACACCAGAUUUCACUCCUUAGCUAUUCACCGUGGCAGUGUGUGUGGCAACGUGUUUUUCAGAUGCAGCACCUCCUUAAGCUAGGUCUUUGGACAAAUAUUCAUAGCUAAAAAUUGCAGCCUUAAAAGUGCGUUGUUGCCAUAUUGCAAGUGAAGAAUAGUUUUCAUUUAGAUUUGAACUCUAGCCUCCCCAGAACAGCUUACCCCAGGUAUCUCCCUGUGCCCCAGGUGAUACUAGUUUUAAGUGCAUAUUGGUGAAGUGACCUGAUGAAGGACGCUAAACGUGAUUCUGCAUCUUUAACAAAUUUGCUGGUGUCUGUCUCAGAUUUCAUAAAAAACCCGACAUCCAUUUUUAGGAUAUACUUAAAGAAAAAAUGACCAUGUCAUAGGCACAUUACCAAUUCUAUUUCCAUCCCAGGUUUUGAGAAAUGUCUCGGUAAUUAUUAGGUUGUAUUGUAUUUAUUAGUUGAGGGAAUGUAUAGCUCCUUAGCUUUUAGCAACCUUUUCCUUUCUGCAUACAUUCCAGCUUCCUAAACAGUUGUGUUUGAGAUGCUGUCUCUUAAACUUCUCUCUUAAAUCUAAACCAAUGGCUUCAAAAUUAGCAUUAUCCCCUUGGCAGCUCUUUCCAUGUGACCAUUUCACACCUGUUCUCUGGUUAAGGGUUGGAAUUUUUCACGUUGAAGAGUGUGCUCAGACUGUCAUGUUCUCCCCAGUUAUCCCAAGUAAGCAUUUAUUACUUUUAAGUUACAAAGACUGAAAGUCUUGCAGCACAAAGUUUUUUUAUUAGAAUUUUGUUUUCUGAUGUUCAGAUAGUUUCAUUGGUUAACUGCACAGAGCACCACUUGCUUUUGAUUCUGAAUUGCAAACACCACAGGGCCAACAUAAAAGAUGCAAUAUUUUUAAACAGCAUCUAUUUUUGAGUAUCAAUAAAACACAAGCUGUAGGAUUUCAAUCAAUUGUAAUUGGCCAGGCCUUGAUUUCUCCAUCUCUUGGUCAUGAAACCUUCACUACCAAAAAUUUCUUACUCUAACAGAUGUCCAAGUACACACUGUUCUCAGGCAGUCACACUGGCAUUUACAUUAGUAACAGAGCACACAGCCUGCUUAAGGGUGCAAACAGCCAUUCUUGGAGAGUUUGCUUUUCAACCACUCCUACUGCAUACCUUACUGUAACCAUGUGAAACUAAAACUCCUCCUCUUACUUACUGGAAGGCUUUCUUUUUUGCCUAAAGUUAAUUGUAUCCUCUUCCCCAUUUCAUCAUCAGAGAUGAGGCCUUUAGAUGUUGUAGUUCAACUGGUUAAUUAAAAAUAAUUUCACACACUUGUAAUUUAUAAAAGAAAUAUUCAUACAGAACUGAAUAAAGCGCAACUUACCUUUGUCCUAAGACAGGCACUCUGCUCCUAUGACUCAUGGUAUCGCUCCAUUACAUGCUGGGACAUUUCAGAACAGCAGAGAGUUGGGCAGUGCCAAAUGACUACUUCAGAUGAUGGAGAAUGGAAGAGGUAACGUUAAGAAGUUGAGAUUCCUGAUGUGUGUUUGGCACUCUCUCUAUAUAUACUGAACAAGGUAUUUUUCCUUAGCGUUUUAUCGUUUUCAUUAGAAGUAUAUUUCCCACCCUACCAGUUACAAAAUAGAAAGCAGAGGGUUUGUAUUUCAUAUAAAGAUGUUGACUAGCCCAAUUGGAUUAACCUUGCAUGUAUAUAGAAGUUACCACUGAGGAAACAGUACAGGGAUCUUCAAGUGUUACUCUCUUUCUGCAGGAAUUGUGCAUAAAUUACUCUUUAAUGCAUCCUGAUAUAUGUAGUCAUAAUGAAAUAUUUGAAAUAUAAAUAUUAAAUGUAGAUGGAAAUACACUUAAUAUUUCUGUUCCUAUAGCAGACCCAUCCAUGAAAACUGCUUUUAGAGUGAAGUAUCAUUCAAGAAACUUUUACCUUGUCAAAAAGGAUUGUAGCAAAUCACCCGUCCAAAUAUGGUAACAACAUAUCCACUUGUUUACAGGAAACAAUUUAAAAACAAUGAUCUCUUGCUCAGGGAAAAAUAUCACCGAUGACUUGGAAUUACUUUUGUGUCGCUCAAUGUGUCGAUUAUUAAAAUCCAGUUACUAGAUUGAAGCACUGCGCUAGCCAACAGGUUUUAACUGUAACAAAUACGUAUCAGUUGUGACACAUGUGUUUGUGUCUCUCACAUGUUAUUACAUGAAAAGGAUCAGAGAUGGACAGCACGUUACUCUGUUGAUCCAAAACACAAAUGUGAAAGUGCUACUUCUAGUCCUAAUUGCAUUAAAAAAAAAGAACAACCCCAAAACCAAAACCAAACAAAACAAAAAACAAACCCAAAACAAAACUAAGAGCAGUUCCUCAGUGCAUGGAUAUUUGAAUAUUUUUUCCUUGUGCAAGUACUGGUCAUCUAAAAACCCAAACC
Long non-coding RNA from Prinia subflava (tawny-flanked prinia), 4822 nucleotides. RefSeq lists it as uncharacterized. The record is from RefSeq and is a predicted model, not a curated record. The transcript is spliced from 2 exons. NCBI's taxonomy places the organism in Eukaryota, Metazoa, Chordata, Aves, Passeriformes, Cisticolidae.